GGAUUUGAACCCAUGACCUCGGACUGUAAGGCCCGGGCUCUCUCCACUGAGCCACGCUGCUUCUCUCUUCGCACAGGACAUCUGGGAAAAGGGCUUAAGAUUUCUCCUGCCCCUCUUAAACUCCAUUGCCAAGGAAAGAAAGGGAGGAAGGAAGGAGUCAGUCUGGGUUGCAGUGAAGACUUCAGGCGCAGAGAAGAUACUUGGAGGGAUACUCUUCAGAUGAGGGAACUGAGGCCCAG
Molecule: long non-coding RNA, 239 nt
Organism: Tachyglossus aculeatus (Australian echidna)
Lineage: Eukaryota; Metazoa; Chordata; Mammalia; Monotremata; Tachyglossidae
Exons: 3
Source: RefSeq, a predicted model, not a curated record